GAUGAACGCUGGCGGCGUGCCUAAUACAUGCAAGUCGAGCGAACGGACGAGAAGCUUGCUUCUCUGAUGUUAGCGGCGGACGGGUGAGUAACACGUGGAUAACCUACCUAUAAGACUGGGAUAACUUCGGGAAACCGGAGCUAAUACCGGAUAAUAUUUUGAACCGCAUGGCUCAAAAGUGAAAGACGGUCUUGCUGUCACUUAUAGAUGGAUCCGCGCUGCAUUAGCUAGUUGGUAAGGUAACGGCUUACCAAGGCAACGAUGCAUAGCCGACCUGAGAGGGUGAUCGGCCACACUGGAACUGAGACACGGUCCAGACUCCUACGGGAGGCAGCAGUAGGGAAUCUUCCGCAAUGGGCGAAAGCCUGACGGAGCAACGCCGCGUGAGUGAUGAAGGUCUUCGGAUCGUAAAACUCUGUUAUUAGGGAAGAACAUAUGUGUAAGUAACUGUGCACAUCUUGACGGUACCUAAUCAGAAAGCCACGGCUAACUACGUGCCAGCAGCCGCGGUAAUACGUAGGUGGCAAGCGUUAUCCGGAAUUAUUGGGCGUAAAGCGCGCGUAGGCGGUUUUUUAAGUCUGAUGUGAAAGCCCACGGCUCAACCGUGGAGGGUCAUUGGAAACUGGAAAACUUGAGUGCAGAAGAGGAAAGUGGAAUUCCAUGUGUAGCGGUGAAAUGCGCAGAGAUAUGGAGGAACACCAGUGGCGAAGGCGACUUUCUGGUCUGUAACUGACGCUGAUGUGCGAAAGCGUGGGGAUCAAACAGGAUUAGAUACCCUGGUAGUCCACGCCGUAAACGAUGAGUGCUAAGUGUCAGGGGGUUUCCGCCCCUUAGUGCUGCAGCUAACGCAUUAAGCACUCCGCCUGGGGAGUACGACCGCAAGGUUGAAACUCAAAGGAAUUGACGGGGACCCGCACAAGCGGUGGAGCAUGUGGUUUAAUUCGAAGCAACGCGAAGAACCUUACCAAAUCUUGACAUCCUUUGACAACUCUAGAGAUAGAGCCUUCCCCUUCGGGGGGGCAAAGUGACAGGUGGUGCAUGGUUGUCGUCAGCUCGUGUCGUGAGAUGUUGGGUUAAGUCCCGCAACGAGCGCAACCCUUAAGCUUAGUUGCCAUCAUUAAGUUGGGCACUCUAAGUUGACUGCCGGUGACAAACCGGAGGAAGGUGGGGAUGACGUCAAAUCAUCAUGCCCCUUAUGAUUUGGGCUACACACGUGCUACAAUGGACAAUACAAAGGGCAGCGAAACCGCGAGGUCAAGCAAAUCCCAUAAAGUUGUUCUCAGUUCGGAUUGUAGUCUGCAACUCGACUACAUGAAGCUGGAAUCGCUAGUAAUCGUAGAUCAGCAUGCUACGGUGAAUACGUUCCCGGGUCU
RNAcentral lists this ribosomal RNA (1373 nucleotides) under uncultured bacterium. Its description in RNAcentral is "bacterial SSU rRNA". It matches the Rfam family "Bacterial small subunit ribosomal RNA", at positions 28 to 1381 of the family's 1533-position model. The record is from RNAcentral.